AAUAAAAAAUUGUGCUAAAAAAUACAACGGAUAGAUAACAGUCAAUAAGAUAACAGAAAAUAACGAUAAAAAGACACUAACAAAAAAAGUGU
RNAcentral lists this small RNA (92 nucleotides) under Arabidopsis thaliana (thale cress). RNAcentral's name for it is "ATSL189200". The record is from RNAcentral. Lineage: Eukaryota; Viridiplantae; Streptophyta; Magnoliopsida; Brassicales; Brassicaceae.